GGUAUUCAAGGCAUUGGGGAGCCAGUCACUGCAGGCCCGUUCAAUUCUAAUUUGAUGGUAAUAGAGUGCAUUGGGUACACUCCACUAAACUUCUGGUCAUGGUCGAAGUGGAUAGUUACUAAUGGGUUCGAUGAUCAUACUGACGCCGCCAUCACUAUUAAGGAUGUGAAGUUCUUUCUAAAGGAGCUGAAAACGAAAUGACACCUAUAUCAAUAUGUAGGCCCACCGAGCGGAGGCAUUUCGUCAUAAAUUUGUGACUAAAAUCAUUACUCUUGUUAAGAGUUCGAUGUGUUGAAUAUCAACUGUUCUUCUCCUUUUGCAUGCCAUGUAUAUUAAACUAAAUACAAGAGUUGCAUGGCCAUGCAUGAGUUCAAUGCAUUGCUACAUGUAAUCGGAUAUCUAGCGCAGGUUGCCACAAUUUUGGAAGAAUAGCUUCGCAAAUCUCGGCCAGAAUCGGAAGAGGCAGCAACGCUCUGGCAUCAGGUUGGGUCAAGGUUCCCUCUGGAUAUGCUUAGUAACGGG
This is a long non-coding RNA of Panicum virgatum (switchgrass), 522 nucleotides long. RefSeq lists it as uncharacterized. The transcript has 3 exons. The record is from RefSeq and is a predicted model, not a curated record. Lineage: Eukaryota; Viridiplantae; Streptophyta; Magnoliopsida; Poales; Poaceae.